This is an RNA transcript of Mercenaria mercenaria, 1985 nucleotides long. RefSeq lists it as uncharacterized. The transcript is spliced from 5 exons. The record is from RefSeq and is a predicted model, not a curated record. Lineage: Eukaryota; Metazoa; Mollusca; Bivalvia; Venerida; Veneridae.
AGAAGCGCUGAAUGGCAUUAUGCAGCAACAAAAUAGCCAAUUUCAGUCUUCUAUUACUUUAACAGAGGAGUUUAUUCGGAAAAUGUCAACUGGAGAUUCUGACACGAUGUGUCUGAUACAUGCAGUUGCAGUCUGUCUUUGGAAGCUGUAGAAAUAACAAGAAAGAGGCUGACAUAGCGUUUUGGUAGGGAAAAGUUUGAGUAUGUACAUGUACAGUUGUUCGACCUGUCUAACCCUGUGGCAGUCCAAGAAGAUGUUACCAUUAUGAAAAAUGCAGGGGAACUUGAAGACAAUGGUUAGUGCAGAAGGGAUAUAAAAGUUAUGAUAAAAGUAACAGAUAUAAAUAAGAAGUGCUACAAGUGUGUUGUCAUGUGAAAUGGAAUUUACCCCAACUGUGCUGCAUUGCGAGACAUUCAUGUACCAGCUGUAAACUGAGAUGGACCCAUAUAAUAAAUAUGUUGACUUUUCUAUGUAUUAUCAUCUGUACAGAAUGUGUUCAUGACAAGACUGUAUACAUAUAUUGUUAAAUAAUUUUUUAUUUCCAUUAUUGCAUACAUGUAAGAAGCUAGCAUUUAACAAUUGCAUUCAUAGAAAUGUUAAAAUGUGAUCAAUCUAAUUUAAAUAAAAACAUUUAAUUGGACUUUUUAAGUUUCAUAGUAAUUGUGGUGGAGAUUGACCCAGUUAUUCAGCAACUUAUACUGUCUGUGAGUCAUUUCUUGUAUGUUAUAGUUUUCUUAAUAAUACAUUAAAUGUCAAAGUUAUGGUAAGAUGAACUCAUUCAUCACUUGUAGAUUAAUUUUAAAGCAGUUCAACAUUUUACCAUAAGUUAACUAAUAUUCUAUUUAACCAGAGAUGUCACAUAUUUCCAUAUAAACAUUUGUAUAAUACAGUCUAAUCUAAUCUACAAAUGAUGUUCCACAAUUUUUUAGUUAUAUUUUAUGUUGAUAUUUUAUGUUGAUAUUUUAUGUUGUUUUCAUGUCUCAACAUAUUAUUACUAACAUCAAAGAAACUUGAGUAUUUUACAGUUUGGUUGGUAUAAAUGGUUGUUUUGUUUAUAUAUUUUUUUCCAUCCAGGAGAAUAAAGAAAUAUACAUUUCAAAAUAUCUCACCAUUCCAGAUAAGUACACUACAUAAUCAAGAUAAAAGAAAUAAGAACAAAAUAUGUUGGUGGAAUUUUAUUUUCAAAAAUUUGAUAUACAGUCUUUGUAGUAUUUACUUCUUGAGGUAUGUUGGACAGAAAUGGGAAUAACAACAUACUUUAAUUUUUUGUAGUAACAAGUUAUUAUGGGAAUUAUUAACUUAACUUAACUUAAAAAGAUUUUAUCUCACUGUUAUGCCAUCUGAGCUUUAAUAUUUUUCAACAUUGUCAUUGGCAACAAGGCUCAAAAUUAUUUGUUGUGUAUACCUUGCAUUCAUGUGUGAUAAAUGCUUUUAUGGUAUUCUUUAAUAUAAUUUAUGCUUUUAAUCUUACCAUGGAUUAAAAAAAUAUAACUUUAUUUGUCUGAUAAUUAAGGUAAAAAUAUUGACUGAUUAAAUUGUAAUAUAAGAAAGCUUAUUUGAGAUAAAGGGAGGUAAUUCCAUAAAAAAUAUGUAGAAUGUAGAUGAUAAAUAUAAUGAAGGGAGGUAAUAAAAUAUUGUGAAGUUAUUAGUCUUCUUUUCUUUGAUGAGCCAAAUAAUUGUUUUACAUUUUGGUUUAUUAACUACAAGUAUGACCUAACAUGUGUACCUGUCCUGAAGGAAAAUAAAAAGGUUGUUUGAUGUCCUUGUACUGUUAAGUUGUUCCUGUAUUUGUUUACAUUCCAUGUCUGAAUGAAAUGAAGAAACAGACUUUAAUGAGGGUAUCCCGGGAAAAUACCUAAGUUUAUUUUUAUAUCAGCAAAUUUGAUGAGAUAGUCAUUCAGGAGUUGUCUAUCCUAUUUCCAAAAAUGCUAUGGGGACUAAAAUUUUUGGAGUAAAUAUCUCUUUUAAAAAAUAACACACAGCAU